CCCCAGAGAGUGGUUUCCGGCAGCUCUGUUAUCUCGGGGCUGGCAGGUGGUUUCUGCCUCUCCCUCACUCAGCAAACACGCAGCUUGGUCUCGGCAUGCACCUCGCCUAUCUCAUCCUCACGGUCUUCCUGGGCCAGCUCCUGGGCACCACGGGGCAGAUCAAGGUCACCCAGGAAGAUGGACAAGUCAUGGUGAAGCAGAGACAUCCCUUCCAGACCACCUGCACAUACCAGACCAAUUAUUUUAAUGCUUUGCUGUGGUACCAGUUGCGGAAAGGCCAAGCCCCACAGCUGGUCUCCUAUCACGCAGGGCCUGGCGCCAAGCACAGCGGCCGUAUCACCACGCACCUGAACACCACGGGGAAAUACAGUGUCCUGCAGGUGGAGGAAGUGGAGGUCUCUGACAGUGCCUUGUACCUCUGUGCUGUGCAAGACACCCUGGUGCAGGGAACUUCCUCGGCUGUGCAACAAGCCAGGGGAGGGAGGGAGGGAGGGGAUGUGUCUGUGUGAGGGUGAGCUUGGGGCAAGGGAACCUGAGGUCGCCCCG
Non-coding RNA from Corvus hawaiiensis (hawaiian crow), 546 nucleotides. The record is from the annotation of a RefSeq genome assembly. NCBI's taxonomy places the organism in Eukaryota, Metazoa, Chordata, Aves, Passeriformes, Corvidae.